Molecule: transfer RNA, 79 nt
Filed under: Salmonella enterica subsp. enterica serovar Typhimurium
Lineage: Bacteria; Pseudomonadati; Pseudomonadota; Gammaproteobacteria; Enterobacterales; Enterobacteriaceae
Description: tRNA-Lys
Rfam family: tRNA
About the family: Transfer RNA (tRNA) molecules are approximately 80 nucleotides in length.
Source: RNAcentral
GGGUCGUUAGCUCAGUUGGUAGAGCAGUUGACUUUUAAUCAAUUGGUCGCAGGUUCGAGCCGCUUGCGGCGACGGCCCG